Molecule: long non-coding RNA, 522 nt
Organism: Cercocebus atys (sooty mangabey)
Lineage: Eukaryota; Metazoa; Chordata; Mammalia; Primates; Cercopithecidae
Exons: 3
Source: RefSeq, a predicted model, not a curated record
GAUUUUGCUUUUUGCACUGACAGAUGCAGGCAAAUGGCAGCAAUUCAGCUCAGCCAAGGAGAUGGAAGAACUCCACGGGACUCCAUCUGGGGCCUGUUUCUUUGGCCUGUGAAGCCUGGCAGAGCCUUUCCCUGGUAGUAAAAUUUUCCAGGCUAGCUAUCAACUGCACCAUUAAAACUAAAACUGGAAAAGAUAUAUGACGUACUUCAGACUCCAGCAAUAUGCAGUGCAUCAUGAGAUCGCUAAGAGAAGGGGAGCUCACAGCACACAGAGAGAAGGUGGCUGUCUGCAAAUGAGGAAGAAAGCCCUCACUGAAAAUUGAAUCGAUCUUAGAUUUCUAGCUUCCAGAACUGUGUGAAAAUAAAUAUUUGUCAUUUAAGCCACCCAGCCUAUGAUACUUUUGCUAUGGCAGCCCACGGUGGUGACUACAAUGGGCAUGUACAUUUAUUAAGACAUAUUAAACACUGUUUUUAAAUGUGUGUGAAUUUUAUUAUGUAUUAAUUAUACUUCAAUAAAACUGAU